UUAACAUGCAAGUCGAACGGCAGCACGGGGGCAACCCUGGUGGCGAGUGGCGAACGGGUGAGUAAUACAUCGGAACGUGUCCUGUAGUGGGGGAUAGCCCGGCGAAAGCCGGAUUAAUACCGCAUACGCUCUACGGAGGAAAGGGGGGGAUCUCAGGACCUCCCGCUACAGGGGCGGCCGAUGGCAGAUUAGCUAGUUGGUGGGGUAAAGGCCUACCAAGGCGACGAUCUGUAGCUGGUCUGAGAGGACGACCAGCCACACUGGGACUGAGACACGGCCCAGACUCCUACGGGAGGCAGCAGUGGGGAAUUUUGGACAAUGGGCGAAAGCCUGAUCCAGCAAUGCCGCGUGUGUGAAGAAGGCCUUCGGGUUGUAAAGCACUUUUGUCCGGAAAGAAAACCUCCGCCCUAAUAUGGUGGGGGGAUGACGGUACCGGAAGAAUAAGCACCGGCUAACUACGUGCCAGCAGCCGCGGUAAUACGUAGGGUGCAAGCGUUAAUCGGAAUUACUGGGCGUAAAGCGUGCGCAGGCGGUCCGCUAAGACAGAUGUGAAAUCCCCGGGCUUAACCUGGGAACUGCAUUUGUGACUGGCGGGCUAGAGUAUGGCAGAGGGGGGUAGAAUUCCACGUGUAGCAGUGAAAUGCGUAGAGAUGUGGAGGAAUACCGAUGGCGAAGGCAGCCCCCUGGGCCAAUACUGACGCUCAUGCACGAAAGCGUGGGGAGCAAACAGGAUUAGAUACCCUGGUAGUCCACGCCCUAAACGAUGUCAACUAGUUGUUGGGGAUUCAUUUCCUUAGUAACGUAGCUAACGCGUGAAGUUGACCGCCUGGGGAGUACGGUCGCAAGAUUAAACUCAAUGA
This 860-nucleotide ribosomal RNA is filed under the name Burkholderia sp. 3-10pA. Its description in RNAcentral is "bacterial SSU rRNA". It matches the Rfam family "Bacterial small subunit ribosomal RNA", at positions 50 to 907 of the family's 1533-position model. Lineage: Bacteria; Pseudomonadati; Pseudomonadota; Betaproteobacteria; Burkholderiales; Burkholderiaceae. The record is from RNAcentral.